AGCAGCCGCGGUAAUUCCAGCUCCAAUAGCGUAUAUUAAAGUUGUUGCAGUUAAAAAGCUCGUAGUUGAAUUUCGGGAUCAAUAUAUCGGUCGUGCCUUGGUACGUACUGGUAUCAUUGGUUUCUCCUUUCUGACGAACCAUGAUGUCAUUAAUUUGGUGUUAUGGGAAGUUAGGACUGUUACUUUGAAAAAUUAGAGUGUUUAAAGCAGGCUUUGGCUUGAAUACAUUAGCAUGGAAUAAUGAAAUAGGACGUUCGAACCUAUUUUGUUGGUUUCUAGGAUCAACGUAAUGAUUAAUAGGGAUAGUUGGGGGCAUUAGUAUUCAAUUGUCAGAGGUGAAAUUCUUGGAUUUAUUGAAGACUAACUACUGCGAAAGCAUUUGCCAAGGAUGUUUUCAUUAAUCAAGAACGAAAGUUAGGGGAUCGAAGACGAUCAGAUACCGUCGUAGUCUUAACCAUAAACUAUGCCGACUAGGGAUCGGAUGAUGUUAAU
Molecule: unclassified non-coding RNA, 492 nt
Filed under: uncultured Archaeospora
Lineage: Eukaryota; Fungi; Glomeromycota; Glomeromycetes; Archaeosporales; Archaeosporaceae
Description: SSU rRNA
Rfam family: Eukaryotic small subunit ribosomal RNA
Source: RNAcentral